GUGAUGUGUGUUGAUGUUUGCUGUGGGGUGGAAAUUUUUGUUGUGUUGUUGAUGUGUUCUUGAAGUUUGUUGUGGUGUUCAUCUUGUUUUUCAUCUCACCUUACAACUUAAGACAACCAAAGUGUAACAUAUAUUCAAAAAGGUGAACAUAUUGGUUGGAACUGGGUUUAGUGGCAUAAUGGCAAGAAAAUUGUUAAGGGUGAUUUAUUGUAUAUAUAUAUAGCCGAAUCUUUUUGCAUGAGAUUGAGUUGGUAAUGAAGUGAUACGUCCUUGUGUGUUAGUUUAGUAGAAGGUAGAGAAGGAGUUAUUUGUUAAGGUGAAUUGUUGUUUGCUUGAAGUAUGAAAAGAGUUGUUGACAGUGUUUGUUGUUCAAGAAGACUAUAGGUUAUUGAUGAAGGUACUUGGUGGAUGAGUGUGGUUAAUUUAGGCAUCCCUGAGAUUGUAAGAGGGAGUUUAAUUGAAACUUAUAGAGUUAUGGACUAAGUUUAGUCGUAAGGGGUAGAUAGUAAUGGCGUGUAAAAGGAGGAUGUGUUAAUGGAUUGUGAAUAGGGUAGGCUAUAUGAUUAUGGUCGAUUGUUAUUGUUACGGAGUUCUAGUGUACUAGUGUUUUUUGAUGUUUUAUUUUCAUUUUUUUUCUUCUUUCCAAGUGAGAAUUGUGUGUAAGGUUGAAUUGUAAACCAUGUUUAGCACUAGACAUUAAGUUUGAAUAGUUGAUGGCCAUGAAGUUAGAUGUGAUGAUUUCUUGGUUAAUGAUACUAGUUAUAGGGAAGUGAUCUAGUAGGCUUAGACAGCAUACACAAGAGCUUAAGUUUAUUUAAGCCGUAGUGAAGUACGAUAUUGUCUGUAUGAUGUAGAAAUAUACCCAAAGUGAUAUAGAGUUGCAGUAUUUUCUAAGGCUAUUGCAUGUUGCGUGUGGCUAGUAGUAAUAUUAAGUUGCUAGAUGGAGAAAAACUAGUUAGAUGUUACAUGGUGUUCUAAAUGGACAAGUUAAGAAGUUAUGAUUAAUGAUGUUGAGCCUUUUUAUAUAAUCUUGAUUCUCAUGGUUUAGAAAUAUAAGUUUCCCGGCAUAAUGCUGGUAGACUAUCAGAGAAAAGGUAUGGUCCGUUAAAGGUUUGGAGAUAUCCAUGUUUAGUGUUAGGAAAAUCUAAGUUGGUGAAUGAUUAAGCUAUUAUAUGAUGACUUUUGGGGCUUUAGAAACCUAAGCGUUGAAUCUUAGAAGGAGGUAGUAGCAUUGGUCUCUAUACAUGAAAAUACCGUCUUACAGGGUAAGUUCAGUUUUAUGUGUAUUAUUAUAUCCCCGAUUCUAGAGUAAAGUGAUUUUAGUUUAUACCAUAGUGUAUAUAGUGGUUCACAGACUUAGAGUAAUGGCUUAAAUCUAAGGGGGAGAUGAUAGAACGAGUAACUAAGUCAAGUUUUCAGAUGCUAAUAGAUGUUCCAGUAAGUUGUGGAAUUGGCCGUAAGAAAGAACGAUGCUCAAUCUAUUCUUAUUUCAGCAGUUUACUUCUGUUAUUCCGAUACAUACUCAUGCUUUAUAUUUCAACUUCAUGAUCAUAGUCCGUGUUCAUACAUAUGAUAAGGAAUCAUGUACUCUCCUAGUUCCUAGUAUGAUGAGUUCCUAAUUUGUUCAGCAGUCAGAAUCACUUUCCGUAAGUUAUGAAUUCCAAAAAUUCAGGUCAUGCAGUUCAUGACUCUAGUGCACAUGUGAUACUCUUAACGAUCAGUGAAAAAUUCAGAUUAUAUCAGGCACUACGUUAGAUUAGAUCUCCUUAAUGAGUCCAUGCCAUGAGUGUUCUAUUCCUCAUGCCUCAGUAGGGUAUCAAGUUAUUCUUAGUACUCCCCUCAUGUUUCGGUAUUCCAAUUUUUCAGUUUCCUUUUCCUUUAGGUCAAGAUAGUGAUGAUGAAUAGUUGUCUAGAUGGAAAGAGUAAACAUUUCUUGUUGAUGAAAGAUGGUUGUGUGCUUAUUUGAGUUAAGGUAGUAAUUGUCGAGUAAGAUUGAGGCCAAGUC
Molecule: long non-coding RNA, 2005 nt
Filed under: Capsicum annuum
Lineage: Eukaryota; Viridiplantae; Streptophyta; Magnoliopsida; Solanales; Solanaceae
Description: long non-coding RNA (CANN_LNC013536)
Source: RNAcentral